Molecule: small RNA, 28 nt
Filed under: Bombyx mori (domestic silkworm)
Lineage: Eukaryota; Metazoa; Arthropoda; Insecta; Lepidoptera; Bombycidae
Description: ovarian small RNA-25002
Source: RNAcentral
UCACACGGUCCUUGUGGCUUGACCGGCG